AUUGAACGCUGGCGGCAGGCCUAACACAUGCAAGUCGAGCGGAUGAAGGGAGCUUGCUCCUGGAUUCAGCGGCGGACGGGUGAGUAAUGCCUAGGAAUCUGCCUGGUAGUGGGGGAUAACGUCCGGAAACGGGCGCUAAUACCGCAUACGUCCUGAGGGAGAAAGUGGGGGAUCUUCGGACCUCACGCUAUCAGAUGAGCCUAGGUCGGAUUAGCUGGUUGGUGGGGUAAAGGCCUACCAAGGCGACGAUCCGUAACUGGUCUGAGAGGGUGGUCAGUCACACUGGAACUUGGACACGGUCCAGACGCCUACGGGAGGGCGCAGUGGGGAAUGUUGGACAAUGGGCGGGAGCCUGAUACAGCCAUGGCGCGUGUGUGACGAAAGCCCUCGGAUUGUAAAGCACUUUAAGUUGGGAGGAAGGGCAGUAAGUUAAUACCUUGCUGUUUUGACGUUACCAACAGAAUAAGCACCGGCUAACUUCGCG
This 484-nucleotide ribosomal RNA is filed under the name uncultured bacterium. RNAcentral describes it as "partial 16S ribosomal RNA". It matches the Rfam family "Bacterial small subunit ribosomal RNA", at positions 30 to 507 of the family's 1533-position model. The record is from RNAcentral.